Leptinotarsa decemlineata (Colorado potato beetle) is the source of this 1481-nucleotide long non-coding RNA. The record is from RefSeq and is a predicted model, not a curated record. NCBI's taxonomy places the organism in Eukaryota, Metazoa, Arthropoda, Insecta, Coleoptera, Chrysomelidae.
AGCCAUAUCGCCUGAAAAACAAUAUUAGUUACCUCUGGGUUUCUGAAUACUGUUUGAUAUUUUCGGUAAAUAUUCUGCAUAAUAUGAAUGCUCUAAUAUUUGUACUGAAAGGGAAGGUUAUGGCGACUUACCUUAUAUGUUUCUAUUCCAUCGCAUGAAUAAGGAUUGGUAAAUAGUUGAAAAUAGGUUGGAACAAUAUAUUUUGUAAAUAUUCGUAAACAAGGUUAAGAGACAGCUGUUGGUUGACAUCUGCCGAACUUUCGUAGUGUCGUUCCGUCGACUUACACCGAACUAGUUCUACAGUUGUUCACGGGUGAGGGAUUGAUCGGUUACUCAAGUUGUCAAGGGUUGUUUUAGGGUUGCAUUGCUUUGAGAAGGAGUUUUGAUGGGUCAUGGACUUGUUGAUGAUGUAUCAAGUGGCUGUGGAGGAAUUGUUAGAUUUAUGAUGUUGUGCACAGCGCCCCCUUGGUGCUUGUAGUGUAGAUUGGAUGCACUGUGGCAACAACUGGUUAGCUGUCAGAUGUGGCAUUCUCUUAGUAUUUGGAAGUUAGCCUUCGGUGAGCUUGGUUCGGAGUUCAAAGGGUAUCAUCAGACUGAUUGUAGGAUAUAUUUGGUUGUAUUUGUGCCAUCCUUCACGGGGAUUAUUUCUACAAGUCAGGAUUGUAUAGUGGAAGACUGAUUGGUCAUUUUGGUGUGGAUAUUUGCAGUCGGAAACUUAAGCUCUUUUGAGGAUUUGUGGUGGAUACCGAACUCGUGCCAGGUGGAAGGAUUUCCGAAAUUAGAUUCAUAAGAAACAGAAGGCCCUCAGUCACUCAUCAAGUCCCAGCAGGACUUCCGUGCAGAACACCGCACACGAAGAAUCGUAUAGAAAACCCCUUGGCCAGGGGUUUUUCUUCCUGCUUUUCUUCCUGCUUGUUUUUGUCUUCGUCAAGGGUUCCUGUUUUCCUUUAUUUUCUUUCUGGAUCUUAUUUGGUGAUCCAUUACUGGUCCAGCUUGUCGUGCCCUACAGGGUGAUCUAUCUUGGUGGUGCUACAGGGUGAUCCAUCUCCGGUGCUACAGGGUGAUCCAUCUCCGCCAUACUACAGGGUAGCCUAACACCAUAUACCGGGUGGCCCAAAAGGAGCACGCAAGUUAUAAUUGAUUUAAUUGAAUAUUUGUGAUAUACUGAGAUAUUUGAAUAAUUGUUGCCCUUAUGUUUAUUGAUACCUGUUGAUAUAGUGUUUGUUUAUCGUUUAUUGAUUAAGAGUUUGUUAUUGAUACCUGAUUGACAUAGAUAUUUGUGAAACGGAAAUUGAGGUAUAUUCUUCCUUUCACGAUUGCUGAUUGACACCGAUGCGCCUACGCCUGAGCUCACGCGACGCAAACGAGUUUGUCUUACCAUCCGAUACUAGUAUUUACGAUUUCACCUACUCAAUUUUCGUGGUAGUUUUACUCGACGUAUUGUAGUUUUUUUGAGCGUCGUUACUACCGUAAUUUAUGGU